GGGCGUAAAGCGUGCGUAGCCGGUACGGAGCGUCGCCACUGAAAGCACCCGGCUCAACCGGGUGAGGUGUGNCGAUACGACCGAACUGGAGGCAAGGAGAGGUGUGCAGAAUUCCGGGUGUAGUGGUGAAAUGCGUAGAUAUCCGGAGGAAUGUCGGUGGCGAAGGCGGCACACUGGUCUUGACCUGACGCUGAGGCACGAAGGCGUGGGGAGCAAACCGGAUUAGAUACCCGGGUAGUCCACGCAGUAAACGAUGUCGGCUCGGUGUAUCGUGGUGGCAACACCAUGGUGUGCCCAAGCUCACGCGGUAAGCCGACCGCCUGGGGACUACGAGCGCAAGCUUAAAACUCAAAGGAAUUGACGGGGGCCCGCACAAGCAGCGGAGCGUGUGGUUUAAUUCGACGCAACGCGAAGAACCUUACCCAGGUUUGACAUGCAGCUGCAAGCGCACGGAAACGUGUGACCUUCGAGGGUGCUGCACAGGUGCUGCAUGGCUGUCGUCAGCUCGUGUCGUGAGAUGUUGGGUUAAGUCCCGCAACGAGCGCAACCCUUGCCGUCAGUUACAAGUGUCUGGCGGGACAGCCCUCGCUAUGAGGGAGGAAGGCGGGGAUGACGUCAAGUCAGCAUGGCCCUUACGCCUGGGGCGACACACACGCUACAAUGCCGACCACAAUGCGCUGCAACCACGCAAGUGCAAGCUAAUCGCCAAAGGUCGGCUCAGUGCAGAUCGGGGGCUGCAACUCGCCCCCGUGAAGGCGGAGUUGCUAGUAACCGCGUAUCAGCCAUGGCGCGGUGAAUACGUACCCGGGCCCUGUACACACCGCCCGUCACGUCAUGGGAGUUGGUAAUGCACUGAAGUCCGUNNGGGGUAACCUGCGGGAGCCAGCGGCCGAGGGCAGGACUGGCGACUGGGACGAAGUCG
RNAcentral lists this ribosomal RNA (922 nucleotides) under uncultured organism. RNAcentral describes it as "bacterial SSU rRNA". It matches the Rfam family "Bacterial small subunit ribosomal RNA", at positions 556 to 1488 of the family's 1533-position model. The record is from RNAcentral.